Molecule: transfer RNA, 89 nt
Filed under: Centroceras clavulatum
Lineage: Eukaryota; Rhodophyta; Florideophyceae; Ceramiales; Ceramiaceae
Description: tRNA-Ser
Rfam family: tRNA
About the family: Transfer RNA (tRNA) molecules are approximately 80 nucleotides in length. Their secondary structure includes four short double-helical elements and three loops (D, anti-codon, and T loops). Further hydrogen bonds mediate the characteristic L-shaped molecular structure. tRNAs have two regions of fundamental functional importance: the anti-codon, which is responsible for specific mRNA codon recognition, and the 3' end, to which the tRNAs corresponding amino acid is attached (by aminoacyl-tRNA synthetases). tRNAs cope with the degeneracy of the genetic code in two manners: having more than one tRNA (with a specific anti-codon) for a particular amino acid; and 'wobble' base-pairing, i.e. permitting non-standard base-pairing at the 3rd anti-codon position.
Source: RNAcentral
GGAGAGGUGGCUGAGUGGUCUAAAGCGGCAGAUUGCUAAUCUGUUGUAUGUUAUUCAACAUACCGAGGGUUCGAAUCCCUUCCUCUCCU